This 2238-nucleotide long non-coding RNA is filed under the name Lactuca sativa (garden lettuce). RNAcentral's name for it is "long non-coding RNA (LSAT_LNC006203)". Lineage: Eukaryota; Viridiplantae; Streptophyta; Magnoliopsida; Asterales; Asteraceae. The record is from RNAcentral.
CGACGGCUCCGAGAAGAAAAGCUUUCGGCUCGGAAACGCUGCUCCAGCGAAGCCCGGUUUUUAAUAAAAACCCGCUGUAAGUGAGCUACGCCUAUAGUAUAUUUAAUAUAGAUUUUAUUUAAUUAUAGUAACAUUGUUAGGACCUUAAAAUAAUUAUUUAGGCUAUUAUUAUGAGUUAUAUUGAGUGUUAUUUAACGCUUAUAUAAUAGUAAUAAUAGCUAGACUAUUAAAUUAGUCUCGUCAAGCGUUAGACUAAACUCUAGUGGUAAUGAUACUAGGUUUCGUCAAGGGAUAAUUGUUUUAAGAGUAACGAAGUGCUGUCCGAGUGCCGACUCACCACCUUUCAGGUGAGUGCAUAGUCCCUUUCAUCUUACACAUAGAUAUGAAGUAUUUUAUAUAAACUACGUGCUAUGUGUGCACAUUAUCUGAAUACUUGCUGUCUAUGCUGGUUGAACGUUUUAUACAUGUUUUAAAGGACUUAAACUGUAUACGUAUUUUAUAUAUACGAAAAUGUUGGGUAUGAGAUGGGUAGAUGAAUGAUGAGAGAUAGAAGAUGACGUGAGUAUACAUUGGCAGCUAUAGACUUAGUGCCUAUGGGACAAACACCGGUAGCUAUGGACUUAGUACCUUUUAGACGUUGGUAGCUAUGGAUUUAGUACCUGUUGGGAAUUGGUAGCUAUGGACUUAGUACCUAUUAGUUAGACGCUGGUAGCUAAGGAUUUAGUACCUGUAGGAAUUGGUAGCUAUGGACUUAGUACCUGUUGAACAUUGGUAGCUAUGGACUUAGUACCUAUUAGAUAAAGACUGGUAGCUAUGGAUUUAGUACCCGAUGAAUAGACUAUAGCAGCUAUGGAAUUAGUGCUUUAUGAACGAACAUUGGCAGCUAUGGAUUUAGUGCCAGUCCUAUAACCCUGGAAGUAAGGGACUUCGGAAUAAACGAAUGCAGGAUAGACGACUCUUAGGUUAAAUCCUUAAGAGUAAAGAAGAUAACGGGGAUGGGUAAUGGGGUUAAUUGUUUGAUGAUUAAACAUAACAAUUAUAUUAUUGUGGGUUGAAAACCCUAUGUACUCACCAGGUUUCCCAACCUGACCCACUCAGUUUAUGUAUAUCACAGGUGACGAAGUGAAGUGACAUUACACUGAGAGAUUUAAAGAGAUGUAGAUCACUAGUGUAAAUCAUUGUAAGUUCUGUUUAUGCUUAUGUUUCGGUAUUAACGAUGACAUCCCAAACGUUUUAAAAUGAAAUAAAUACGUUUCCUCGAAAAUGUUUUAAUAACGUAUUUACCAUGUUUUUCUGGGAACACAUUCCGCAACCUUUUUAUAAAACGAAGUACUCUGAUUUUCAUAAAGCAUAAACAAAAUCGGUCUUUUCUGGCCGUGAUUUUGGGGAUGUCACAGAACUCGCCGAGUUGUUCUUAAGACUCGGCGAGUUGAGUCGGGGUGGCCCCGCGAUUCAUGCCAGGUGGAACUCGUCGAGUCAAGGGAAAUACUCGACGUGCCAAGAGAGAAUCUAAGAGAGUCAGUGGACAUGUGUAGACUCGCCGAGUCGCCUUUGUGCACUCGCCGAGUCAGGUCAAGUUUGACCGUUGACCUUGUUGACUUUUAGGGUUGAGUACAGUUGUAUUUAUGAGAGUAUUACUUUAUGUGAUUAGGCGGAGGCUAGAUCAUACUUCUUCCGAGUCAGAUAUUUUCCGAGACAUCGAGGUGAGUCUUCUCACUAUACGUUACCUAGAGUGGUACUAUGUGAUGACCAGAGGGUCUUAUGUGUUAUGUAUGAGAUUAUGUGCUAUGUGAUAAUUGUAUGUUGUAUGAUGAUAUAGACCGGACCGGAGGGUCCAACGAGUUAUGACCUGACCUAAGGGUCCAACGAACUACGGGACUGGAGGGUCCCGCUGAGACACAUUGACCGGAGGGUCAUGUUAUAGCCUUGAGUGGCGUAUGUGCUGUAUGUGGUAUUUUGGGGAACUCACUAAGCAUUUAUGCUUACAGUUGUUGUGUUAUGUGUUUCAGGUACUAGUGAUGAGUGCGGGAAUGCGCCAGCAUGAUUCGUACACACACGCAUUAGAGUUUUUGUAGAGAUUCUGGGGAAAUGUUUUGUAAUAAUAACAUUGAUACAAUGUGUUUGACAAUAUUUAUGAAUGAAUGAAUGUUUUAAAAAUGAAAAAGUUAUUUUGAAAAUUUACGUUGUUACAUUUUUAUUAUGAGGUACCAAAUCGAAAUAAGAAAAACUAGUGUUAUC